RNAcentral lists this ribosomal RNA (490 nucleotides) under uncultured bacterium. Its description in RNAcentral is "bacterial SSU rRNA". It matches the Rfam family "Bacterial small subunit ribosomal RNA", at positions 48 to 507 of the family's 1533-position model. The record is from RNAcentral.
UUAACACAUGCAAGUCGCACGAGAACGCUUCAGCUUGCUGAGGUUAGUAAAGUGGCGCACGGGUGAGUAUCGCGUGGGUAAUCUAACCUCUGAAUUGGGGAUAACAUUGCGAAAGCGAUGCUAAUACCGAAUAACAUCUUAAAUACUUCGGGUAUUUAAGAUCAAAGAUGGCCUCUACAUGUAAGCUACUGUUUGGAGAUGAGCCCGCGUACCAUUAGCUUGUUGGUAGGGUAACGGCCUACCAAAGCGACGAUGGUUAGCUGGUCUGAGAGGAUGAUCAGCCACACUGGAACUGACACACGGUCCAGACUCCUACGGGAGGCAGCAGUGAGGUAAUUUUGCGCAAUGGGGGAAACCCUGACGCAGCAACGCCGCGUGAGUGAUGAAGGCUUUCGGGUCGUAAAGCUCUGUCAAGCGGGAAGAAACUGCCCCGUGCUAAUAUCACGGGACACUGACGGUACCGCUGAAGGAAGCACCGGCUAACUCCGUG